Molecule: transfer RNA, 69 nt
Filed under: Marmota marmota marmota (Alpine marmot)
Lineage: Eukaryota; Metazoa; Chordata; Mammalia; Rodentia; Sciuridae
Also listed under: 2 other names
Rfam family: tRNA
About the family: Transfer RNA (tRNA) molecules are approximately 80 nucleotides in length.
Source: Rfam by way of RNAcentral
GGGAAUGUGGCUCAGUGGUGGAGCAUGUGCCUGGCACGCAUGAGGCUCUGGGUUCCAUCCCUAGCACCA